Molecule: ribosomal RNA, 876 nt
Filed under: uncultured bacterium
Lineage: Bacteria
Description: bacterial SSU rRNA
Rfam family: Bacterial small subunit ribosomal RNA
Source: RNAcentral
GGGGGGGUAGGCGUGCCUUACCUGCAAGUCUGACGGUAACAGGUCUUCGGAUGCUGACGAGUGGCGAACGGGUGAGCCCCAUAUCGGACCGUGCCCGAUCGUGGGGGAUAACGAAGCGAGCGCUUUGCUAAUACCGCAUAAGAUCUACGGAUGAAAGCAGGGGACCGCAAGGCCUUGCGCGAACGGAGCGGGCGAUGGCAUAUUAGGUAGUUGGUGGGAUAAAAGCUUACCAGGCCGACGAUCUGUAGCUGGUCUGAUGAGGACUACCAGCCACACUGGAACUGAGACACGGCCCACACUCCUACGGGAGGCAGCAGGGGGGAAUCUUGGACAAUGGGCGAAAGCCUGAUCCAGCCAUGCCGCGUGCACGAUGAAGGCCUUCCGGUUGUAAACUGCUUUUGUAUGGAACGAAAAGACUCUGGUUAAUACCUGGGGUCCAUGACGGUACCGUAAGAAUAAACACCGGCUAACUACGUGCCAGCAGCCGCGGUAAUACGUAUGGUGCGAGCGUUAAUCGGAAUUACUGGGCGUAAAGCGUGCGCAGGCGGAUAUAUAAGACAGAUGUGAAAUCCCCGGGCUCAACCUGGAGACUGCAUUCUGUGACUGUAUAGCUAGAGUACGGCAGAUGGGGAUGGAAUUCCGCGUGUAGCAGUGUCAUGCGUACAUAUGCUGAGGAUCACCGAUGGCGAAAGCGAUCCCCUGGGCCUGUACUGACGCUCACGCACGAAAGCGUGAGGAGCAAACAGGAUUAGAUACACUGGUAGUCCACGCCCUGAACAAUGUCAACUGGUUGGUGGCUCGUCCCUGACUUAAGAACGAAACUAACACGUUGAAUUGACCGCCUGGGGAAGUACGGCCCCAAGGUUGAAAGUCAAA